CGCUGGCGGCGUGCCUAACACAUGCAAGUCAACUUGACUGAAGGAGCAAUCUGACAGUAGAGUGGCGCAAGGGUGCGUAACGCGUAAGUAACUUGCCCAAGGUAAGGAAUAACGUCGAGAAAUCGGCGCUAAUACCUCAUAAUGCAGCGGAUCCGCAUGGAUAUGUUGUUAAAGGUUUACCGCCUUGGGAUAGGCUUGCGUCUGAUUAGCUAGUUGGUGUGGUAACGGCACACCAAGGCUACGAUCAGUAACUGGUCUGAGAGGAUGAUCAGCCACACUGGAACUGAGACACGGUCCAGACUCCUACGGGAGGCAGCAGUGAGGAAUAUUGGGCAAUGCUCGAAAGAGUGACCCAGCAACGCCGCGUGGAGGAUGAAGGUAUUCUAUAUCGUAAACUCCUGUGAGAGCAGACGAAAGACAGAUUAUUAAUCUGGAUGACUGUAUGCUCAGAGGAAGCCCCGGCUAACUACGUG
This 473-nucleotide ribosomal RNA is filed under the name uncultured bacterium. Its description in RNAcentral is "bacterial SSU rRNA". It matches the Rfam family "Bacterial small subunit ribosomal RNA", at positions 34 to 507 of the family's 1533-position model. The record is from RNAcentral.